GCCUUCGUACUGUAGCGGUCAGCACGCUUGACGCGAAAUCAAGAGGUCCGUGGUUCGAUUCCUGGGGAAGGCU
RNAcentral lists this transfer RNA (73 nucleotides) under Stegodyphus mimosarum. It matches the Rfam family "tRNA". From Rfam's summary of the family: Transfer RNA (tRNA) molecules are approximately 80 nucleotides in length. Their secondary structure includes four short double-helical elements and three loops (D, anti-codon, and T loops). Further hydrogen bonds mediate the characteristic L-shaped molecular structure. tRNAs have two regions of fundamental functional importance: the anti-codon, which is responsible for specific mRNA codon recognition, and the 3' end, to which the tRNAs corresponding amino acid is attached (by aminoacyl-tRNA synthetases). tRNAs cope with the degeneracy of the genetic code in two manners: having more than one tRNA (with a specific anti-codon) for a particular amino acid; and 'wobble' base-pairing, i.e. permitting non-standard base-pairing at the 3rd anti-codon position. The record is from Rfam by way of RNAcentral. Lineage: Eukaryota; Metazoa; Arthropoda; Arachnida; Araneae; Eresidae.